AGUGAACGCUGGCGGUAGGCCUAACACAUGCAAGUCGAACGGCAGCACAGUAAGAGCUUGCUCUUACGGGUGGCGAGUGGCGGACGGGUGAGGAAUACAUCGGAAUCUACUUUUUCGUGGGGGAUAACGUAGGGAAACUUACGCUAAUACCGCAUACGACCUACGGGUGAAAGCAGGGGAUCUUCGGACCUUGCGCGAUUGAAUGAGCCGAUGUCGGAUUAGCUAGUUGGCGGGGUAAAGGCCCACCAAGGCGACGAUCCGUAGCUGGUCUGAGAGGAUGAUCAGCCACACUGGAACUGAGACACGGUCCAUACUCCUACGGGACGCAGCAGUGGGGAAUAUUGGACAAUGGGCGCAAGCCUGAUCCAGCCAUACCGCGUGGGUGAAGAAGGCCUUCGGGUUGUAAAGCCCUUUUGUUGGGAAAGAAAAGCAGCAGGUUAAUACCCCGCUGUUCUGACGGUACCCAAAGAAUAAGCACCGGCUAACUUCGUG
RNAcentral lists this ribosomal RNA (492 nucleotides) under uncultured bacterium. RNAcentral describes it as "partial 16S ribosomal RNA". It matches the Rfam family "Bacterial small subunit ribosomal RNA", at positions 29 to 507 of the family's 1533-position model. The record is from RNAcentral.